CCUACGGGAGGCAGCAGUAGGGAAUAUUGCUCAAUGGGGGAAACCCUGAAGCAGCAACGCCGCGUGGAGGAUGAAGGUUUUCGGAUUUUAAACUCCUUUUGUUAGAGGAGAUAAUGACGGUAUCUAACGAAUAACCACCGGCUAACUCCGUGCCAGCAUCCGCCGUCAUACGGAGGGUGCAAGCGUUACUCGGAAUCACUGGGCGUAAAGCGCGCGUAGGCGGGUUAGCAAGUCAGAUGUGAAAUCCUAUGGCUUAACCAUAGAACUGCGUUUGAAACUGUUAUUCUAGAGUAUGGGAGAGGUAGGUGGAAUUCUUGGUGUAGGGGUAAAAUCCGUAGAGAUCAAGAGGAAUACUCAUUGCGAAGGCGACCUGCUAGAACAUAACUGACGCUGAUGCGCGAAAGCGUGGGGAGCAAACAGGAUUAGAUACCCGUGUAGUC
Molecule: ribosomal RNA, 440 nt
Filed under: uncultured bacterium
Lineage: Bacteria
Description: partial 16S ribosomal RNA
Rfam family: Bacterial small subunit ribosomal RNA
Source: RNAcentral